Molecule: ribosomal RNA, 459 nt
Filed under: uncultured bacterium
Lineage: Bacteria
Description: partial 16S ribosomal RNA
Rfam family: Bacterial small subunit ribosomal RNA
Source: RNAcentral
CCUACGUGGGUCAGCAGUGAGGAAUAUUGGUCAAUGGGCGCGCGCCUGAACCAGCCAAGUCGCGUGAGGUAAGACGGUCCUCUGGAUUGUAAACCUCUUUUGUCGGGGAGCAAAAGACGCCACGCGUGGCGUUCCGAGAGUACCCGAAGAAAUAGCAUCGGCUAACUCCGUGCCAGCAGCCGCGGUAAUCCGGAGGAUGCGAGCGUUAUCCGUAUUUAUUGGGGUUAAAGGGUGCGCAGGCGGAAGAUCAAGUCAGCGGUAAAAUUGAGAUGCUCAACCUGUUCGAGCCGUUGAAACUGGUGUUCUUGAGUGAGUGAGAAGUAUGCGGAAUGCGUGGUGUAGCGGGGGAAUGCAUAGAUAUCACGCAGAACUCCGAGUGCGAAGGCAGCAUACCGGCGCUCAACUGACGCUCAUGCACGAAAGUGUGGGUAUCGAACAGGAUUAGAUACCCUUGUAGUC